GGAAGGAUCAUUAACAAAUUCUAAACAACUGUGUUUCUUUAGCCCUACUGCUACUAAUUUGAUAGUCCCUCUACAUAACCUGCGGGGGGCCUAUUGGAUUACUGUGGAGGUUAAAGAAGUCACAUAAACAUACACUUUGAUUGACAACACCUAGUGAUCUAGAUAUUAAUUGUAGACAACUUUUAACAAUGGAUCUCUUGGCUCUUGCAACGAUGAAGAACGCAGCGAACUGCGAAACGUAAUGUGACCUGCACUCUUCGUGAAUCAUCCAAUCUUUGAACGCACUUUGCACCUUGCGGCAUUUGUCACAAGGUAUACUUGUUUGAGUAUCCACAACUCUCUCAUCUCCUCUUCGGGGCGAGAUGGACAUGAGAUUCGAUAAGCUGAACAUGCAUAAGGGCGGCAACAAACUUAUGACAGCGAGUCGUUUCUUUAAAUGGAGGCCGACCACAAGUGUCUCAGCUGAGAUAUGGUUAUUGGGAUAACAUCCUAACAAUAGCCAUAGGCUUUGACAUGCGAGGCCAUCUUAUCAAGGGUGUUGACUUUUUCCAAAGUGAUACAAUUGAUAAUGGCGUUCAGAAAAACGCUCUUCCUACACGUUCGCUUACACAUUGCAAGAUGUGUGUGUGUGACAUGAAGAGAGAGAAGGUUAGCUGUUUGCUACUGAAAAAUGGAUCUCAAAUCAAGUAGGGAUACCCGCUGAACUUAAGCAUAUCAGUAAGCGGAGGAAAAGAAACUAACAAGGAUUCCCCUAGUAACGGCGAGUGAACCGGGAAAAGCUCAAAUUUAAAAUCUGUCACCUUUGGUGUCCGAAUUGUAUUUGAUAGGGUCUUCUUUCAGGGAAGACCAUGGCCAAAGUUCUCUGGAAAGGGACAACAAAGAGGGUGACAUUCCCGUCUGGGUCAUGGUUUGAACUGGUAUAAAGGAGGCCCAAAGAGUCGGAUUGUUUGGGAAUGCAGUCCAAAAUGGGUGGUACAUUUCAUCUAAAGCUAGAUAUAGGCAAGAGACCGAUAGCGCACAAGUACCGUGAGGGAAAGAUGAAAAGAACUUUGAAAAGAGAGUUAAAUAGUACGUGAAAUUGUUAAAAGGGAAACGAUUGAGACCAGUGAUGUUAUGUAUGCUUAAGCCUACCCUUCGGGGGAGGUGUAUGUGUGCAUGACAAGUCGAUGCCUCUUUUAGAUUCUGGAAAAGACGAUUGGAAAGGUGGCUCUACCUUCGGGUAGUUGCUUUAUAGUCCAGUUGGGAUACAGAGUCUGGGAGAGGUCCAACAAGGGCGCAAGCUCACGUCGACAAAAUGGUCUUAAACGACCCGUCUUGAAACACGGACCAAGGAGUCUAACAACUAUGCGAGUAUUUGGGUGGCAAAAACCCGAAUGCGUAAAGAAACUGAACGCGUGGGAUCUGGUUCCUCAAGGGGAGCCAGUGCACCAUGGGCCGGUUCUUGUCUUUGACUUGGAUUGCGCUAGAGCAUAUCUGUUGGGACCCGAAAGAUGGUGAACUAUGCCUGAAUAGGGUGAAGCCAGAGGAAACUCUGGUGGAGGCUCGUAGACAUUCUGACGUGCAAAUCGAUGUUCAAAUUUGGGUAUAGGGGCGAAAGACUAAUCGAACCAUCUAGUAGCUGGUUCCCUC
This 1629-nucleotide unclassified non-coding RNA is filed under the name uncultured fungus. RNAcentral's name for it is "sequence contains 18S rRNA gene, ITS1, 5.8S rRNA gene, ITS2, 28S rRNA gene". The stretch from base 673 to 1629 matches the Rfam family "Eukaryotic large subunit ribosomal RNA", at positions 1 to 961 of the family's 3401-position model. The record is from RNAcentral. Lineage: Eukaryota; Fungi.